Molecule: ribosomal RNA, 369 nt
Filed under: uncultured organism
Description: partial 16S ribosomal RNA
Rfam family: Bacterial small subunit ribosomal RNA
Source: RNAcentral
GUAGGGUGCAAGCGUUAAUCGGAAUUACUGGGCGUAAAGCGUGCGCAGGCGGUUUUGUAAGUCUGACGUGAAAUCCCCGGGCUUAACCUGGGAAUUGCGUUGGAGACUGCAAGGCUGGAGUCUGGCAGAGGGGGGUAGAAUUCCACGUGUAGCAGUGAAAUGCGUAGAGAUGUGGAGGAACACCGAUGGCGAAGGCAGCCCCCUGGGUCAAGACUGACGCUCAUGCACGAAAGCGUGGGGAGCAAACAGGAUUAGAUACCCUGGUAGUCCACGCCCUAAACGAUGUCUACUAGUUGUCGGGUCUUAAUUGACUUGGUAACGCAGCUAACGCGUGAAGUAGACCGCCUGGGGAGUACGGUCGCAAGAUUA